Molecule: ribosomal RNA, 492 nt
Filed under: uncultured bacterium
Lineage: Bacteria
Description: partial 16S ribosomal RNA
Rfam family: Bacterial small subunit ribosomal RNA
Source: RNAcentral
AUUGAACGCUGGCGGCAGGCUUUACACAUGCAAGUCGAACGGUAACAGGCCUUCGGGUGCUGACGUGAGGGGAAGGGGGGAGUAAAGCACCUGAACGUAUCCCGGGGAGGGGGGGAACGCAGCGGAAGAUGGGCGAAAACACCACGUGAGCCGAGGGGGAAAGCGGGGGGGCGAGCAGGAAUGUUUGGCCUCGGGUCAGCGGAGGUGCGUAUGUCGGAUUAGCUAGUUGGUGGGGUAAAGGCCUACCAAGGCGACGAUCCGUAGCUGGUCUGAGAGGACGACCAGCCACACUGGAACUGAGACACGGCCCAGACUCCUACGGGAGGCAGCAGUGGGGAAUUUUGGACAAUGGGCGCAAGCCUGAUCCAGCCAUGCCGCGUGCGUGAAGAAGGCCUUCGGGUUGUAAACCGCUUUUGGCAGGAACGAAGCGGUGUCCGCUAAUACCGGGCUCUAAUGACGUUACCUGCAGAAUAAGCACCGGCUAACUACGUG